UAUAUACUUAUAUAUAAUAAUCGUAAGGGAGAUAAUUUGGUCGUAUGGUCCUAUGGUCCAAAAUCUUAUCAUCCGUUGGAUCGUAUAUUGAACAAAUAAGCACCGUUAGAUUAGAACAAAAUUAAAUUCUGUUCUAUAAGGAAACUGACAUCUACUUGCAUGUUUAUAAUUCUUUUUUUGAAUCCAAAACAAAUUCUGUCUUUCACGUGUUUUUGUUUUUUUUUUAAAUCCAAAAUACAUACUUCCUACAAAUUUUAAUUGUAGAAUCUUAUAAAUCGCAUCGUCACAAAAUUAUUUUUAUCCCAUCGGAUCGUAUAUUGAACAAAUAAGCACUGUUAGAUUAGAAUAAAAUUAACUUCUCUUCCAUAAGACAAUUGAUAUUUACUUGCAUGUUUAUAAUUCUUUUUCUGAAUCCAAAACAAAUUCUGUAUUUCACGUGUUUAUGAUUUUUUUAAUCUAAAAUAAAUAUUUUCUACCAAUUUUAUUUGUAGAAUCAUAUAAAUUGCACCGUCACAAAAUUAUUUUUAUCUAAUAUAUUUUAAAAUUAAUAAGCCCGAUUUAUGUGGGAAACGAAUACAAAAACUUUUUCUUAAUCCAAAACAAAUUCUACCAUCUUAUUGCAUGUUUAUGAUUCAUCUUUUUAAUUCAAAACAAAUUGUGUUUAUCAAUUUUAAUCUCGAACUAUUAAAAAUUUUUGAAAAAUAUUUAAACCACAUUAUAAUAAUUCUAAUAUAAAAUAUAUUUAUAAAUAUAAUCUAAUAGGAGUUGGCGUCACAUAUUCUACUUAAAAUAAUUUAAAAUUUGAUAGAAAGAAUUUAAUAGUUUGGCAUGAUACAUAUAAUUUUAAUUUAUUAUUUAUAAAUUAAUUUUUUUCACACCAUUUAAAAUAUAUUUAAAAAGUUUAUAAAUAAUUAAAAAGCUCCCGUGCCUUGCAC
Molecule: long non-coding RNA, 935 nt
Filed under: Daucus carota (carrot)
Lineage: Eukaryota; Viridiplantae; Streptophyta; Magnoliopsida; Apiales; Apiaceae
Description: long non-coding RNA (DCAR_LNC001228)
Source: RNAcentral